Molecule: long non-coding RNA, 1621 nt
Organism: Maniola jurtina (meadow brown)
Lineage: Eukaryota; Metazoa; Arthropoda; Insecta; Lepidoptera; Nymphalidae
Exons: 3
Source: RefSeq, a predicted model, not a curated record
GGAGGAGGUUCUCAAUUCGGUCCAUUUUUGAAUUAAUCCAAGAAAACAAGAAAUAUGCUAAUAUCAUUAUUUUUAUUAAUCACUUAAUUAUACAUCCUUAAAUAAGAGGAUUAAGUAUAACAGUAAAACAUUAACGCGAGAUUAGUAGGUAUUUAUUACAUAUUUAAUACGUAAUAAUUAACUUUUUACUACAAUUACAGGGUUAUCUAUAUUUUACCAUAUUAAAUCAUUAUCGUCGACUUUGUGAACUUUAAAAAGUUCAAUUUUUUUUAUUUUGUCUAUUUCUAACACACCUUAUUUUGAGUCUUGGCCACAUUUGUAUGCUCUGUGAUAUUUUAUGGCCGUUUCACAUUAUUCCAGAAAUCUGAAUUAAAUUAAAUAAAAUAUUUUCAGUGCCGAUUUGCAGUUGCAUAUUUGCAGUUUAUUUUCAAUGCUGACAUUGGACUCGAAAUAGUCGAACGAGUUGAAUUAGCUUUGUACAUUAUUUUAGUUGAAUACACGAAAGUGUGCAAUGCAAUGAAAGAAAUAGGUACUGAAUUGGACUAUAAAUGAUUUCUGGAAUGCUUCUGGAGUAGUGUAAACCGACCAUUAUUACGGUCAACGUUAAAUGGACUUCUGUGUAACUUAAAUAACAAUAAAAACAAUGUUAAAAAAGAAACUCGCGUCAACAUUUUAAUCGUAAAAAAUUGAAUUCAUCAGUCAUCAUCAAUUCAUCACACAUAAAACCUAUUACCUUAUAACCACAUAAAUAUAUUGUACAACAGAAAUUAGGAUGGCAGUUUUUUUAGUUAUAUUAUACAAAACGCAAUAGGAAAUUCAUAAAAUACAUACAACAACCGCGCACACAUCCCUUGGUUAAAAAUUAACGACUACACACAUAUUAUACUAUCUAAAACUAAUUUAAUUACCAUUAAUCUAUUUCUAUAACUAUUAUAUACAUAAUGUACACAAAUUGAACUACCUUCUUCUAAUAUCAAGAGGGCUACAAGUUUGCUACGAAUUACUUAAGUCUGAACAUAAAUGCGAAAGUGUUUGUUUGUUCUUCAAUCAAAUAGAUCGACGUGAUUUUUGUAAAGACCUGGAGAGCGACAUAGGCACAUUUUAUCCCGGAAACAUCGGUGUUCGACAGGAAUUUUGAAAACCUAAAUCCACGCGGACGAAGUUGCGGGCAUCAUCUAGUUGAAUAAUAAAACACUAAUUAUCUUGCCUAACAACUUACUUGUUGUUGACAUUGCCCGGGCAAAGCCUGUUAAUAUAAUCGAAGUCGAUUCUAUCCGGGUAAUGUCGACUUUGCACACCCUGCAGGCUUCGCUUUGACAUUCCACUGUCCUCUUCUUUAGGCGUAAACGUUGCAUUGGUGUUGUAUUUAUAAACAAAAUGUUUGUUUUUCGUCACGCGAAUUUAUCAUAUAUACCUAUCCAUAAGAGCGAAAUCGCUACCUAAAACUCACUUUUACUUAUAUGAAACAUGAAUAUUAUUAUCGAAACAAUAUUACUGUAUAAAAUACUUAAUAUAUCUAAAUAAAUAGGCCAGUUAUUUAUAUCGUGAUACGUUAGUUUAUAUAAUUAAUUCACAUAGACAUAAUAAAAUUAUGAGAAAAACAUUACCUACCAUUUCUAGU